GAUGAACGCUGGCGGCGUGCCUAAUACGUGCAAGUCGAGCGAACGGACGAGAAGCUUGCUUCUCUGAUGUUAGCGGCGGACGGGUGAGUAACACGUGGAUAUCCUACCUAUAAGACUGGGAUAACUUCGGGAAACCGGAGCUAAUACCGGAUAAUAUUUUGAACCGCAUGGUUCAAAAGUGAAAGACGGUCUUGCUGUCACUUAUAGAUGGAUCCGCGCUGCAUUAGCUAGUUGGUAAGGUAACGGCUUACCAAGGCAACGAUGCAUAGCCGACCUGAGAGGGUGAUCGGCCACACUGGAACUGAGACACGGUCCAGACUCCUACGGGAGGCAGCAGUAGGGAAUCUUCCGCAAUGGGCGAAAGCCUGACGGAGCAACGCCGCGUGAGUGAUGAAGGUCUUCGGAUCGUAAAACUCUGUUAUUAGGGAAGAACAUAUGUGUAAGUAACUGUGCACAUCUUGACGGUACCUAAUCAGAAAGCCACGGCUAACUACGUG
RNAcentral lists this ribosomal RNA (497 nucleotides) under uncultured bacterium. RNAcentral's name for it is "partial 16S ribosomal RNA". It matches the Rfam family "Bacterial small subunit ribosomal RNA", at positions 28 to 507 of the family's 1533-position model. The record is from RNAcentral.